Molecule: long non-coding RNA, 414 nt
Organism: Dipodomys ordii (Ord's kangaroo rat)
Lineage: Eukaryota; Metazoa; Chordata; Mammalia; Rodentia; Heteromyidae
Exons: 3
Source: RefSeq, a predicted model, not a curated record
ACCCCCCUCCCCCAUUUUCUCCCCCACUGUCCCCAGCUUGCCCUCCCUCACCUGCGGCAGAGCCAGGGUAACAUCAUCAACAUCUCCAGCUUGGUUGGGGCCAUUGGUCAGUCUCAGGCAGUUCCUUAUGUGGCCACCAAGGGAGCUGUAACCGCCAUGACCAAAGCCUUGGCCUUGGAUGAGAGCCAAUAUGGCGUCCGUGUCAACUGUAUUUCUCCAGGAAACAUCUGGACCCCACUUUGGGAGGAGCUGGCAGCAUCAACCCCAGACCCUGGGGCAACAAUCCGAGAGGGCACCAUGGCCCAAGUAGGAGUGUGGGCCAGGGCUGGGUAGAGUGGAGCAAGGUUUGGGGGUGUUAUGGUCAAGCUGGGGCUCUCCUUCCUUCCUUUCUUUCUUUCUUUCUUUCUUUCUUUC